Molecule: transfer RNA, 49 nt
Filed under: Arisaema elephas
Lineage: Eukaryota; Viridiplantae; Streptophyta; Magnoliopsida; Alismatales; Araceae
Also listed under: 1 other name
Description: partial tRNA-Leu
Source: RNAcentral
UGAGGGUUCAAGUCCCUCUAUCCCCAAAAAAACCAUUUGACCUCCUAAG